Molecule: transfer RNA, 82 nt
Filed under: Burkholderia pseudomallei MSHR4503
Lineage: Bacteria; Pseudomonadati; Pseudomonadota; Betaproteobacteria; Burkholderiales; Burkholderiaceae
Description: tRNA-OTHER
Source: RNAcentral
GGGUCAUGUAGCUCAGUCGUUUAGAUGACCGUCUUGAUAAGGCGAGGUGGUCGUUGGUAUCGAAUCCAAACCAGACCCACCA